RNAcentral lists this long non-coding RNA (1081 nucleotides) under Triticum aestivum (bread wheat). RNAcentral's name for it is "long non-coding RNA (TAES_LNC007300)". Lineage: Eukaryota; Viridiplantae; Streptophyta; Magnoliopsida; Poales; Poaceae. The record is from RNAcentral.
UUUCACAGAAAAUCAAGCACAGAUAUAUAUAUCCAUGAACACAUAUCCAACACAUGUUACCAAUAGCCAUGAACACAUAUCCAACACAUGUUACCAAUAGUCAUGAACACAUAUAUAUCCAACACAUAUCCAUGAACACAUAUCCAACACAUAUUACAAGGAGACAAAGGAGAGAACCAAUACCAAAGAGCCAAAGGAGAGAACCAGCACCACACUUGCACCUGGUAUUUUUCUGCAAUUAGGGAACUGCACCCAUAAGCACAGGGGGCUAGUACCAUUAUAAACUGCUAAAAAAUUCACUGAUGCAUCUUCACACAAAAAAAAUCCAGCUACUUGUGAGCCUAGCCUAAUUAAAUGGCCAUCUCUUUUACUUCCAUGAUAGUGCCUGAAAUGUCAGAUAUACAAGAAAGGAAAUCAUUUACUUGUGAAUAUUCUAAAUGAAGAGCAGAACCUAGAAUAUUUUGCCUUUGCUAAAAUAAAUAAAUUGAGAACAAAGAUGAUAGUUUCAAGUGACAACUCACCAUUUCCCUUUGGUAGCACGCCAAGGAAGCACUCUCUUGACUGUGACCCCCCGAUCACAUUCAGUUCCGCUCCCUGCAAGCACAAGAAUUUUCUUUCUAUUCCAUUUCGCACCAUAUCUCAGCCAUCAUUCACCAUGCAUCUGGACAACUUCGGACCCAGCAAGGUUUUUUCUACAAAGAUCAAAGUGUUAAGUAUAAGUUGUUAGGAGAAAAAGUGAAUUUUAUGGCACGUGUACUCUUUUCCCACCACAUGUAAAUUUUAGGAGGAAAAGCCAGCUACAGCCAUCAACCACAAAAUACUAACCAAUAUCCACAAAUAUGAAAAUAUUGCAAUGAAUACAUGUUGCAUGCCACUGCAGCCUGCAUCACUUCAUUAGAAACAUCACCACUUUCAUAGUAGCAAGAUACAAGCACUUACGCUUAUUCUAAAUAUAGGCAACAAGCAUCCAACCAGCAGAAUGGUGAGAUGUCAGUUCAUCGAAAACUGUUUGUUUGUUCAACAAGGAGAAUAUGUCAAGGGAAAGGGUAAGAAUCUAGAUUUAUUUUCUUUUAUCUUGCAU